This 799-nucleotide ribosomal RNA is filed under the name Salmonella enterica. RNAcentral describes it as "partial 23S ribosomal RNA". It matches the Rfam family "Bacterial large subunit ribosomal RNA", at positions 703 to 1503 of the family's 2925-position model. The record is from RNAcentral. Lineage: Bacteria; Pseudomonadati; Pseudomonadota; Gammaproteobacteria; Enterobacterales; Enterobacteriaceae.
CAGGGUAUAGACCCGAAACCCGGUGAUCUAGCCAUGGGCAGGUUGAAGGUUGGGUAACACUAACUGGAGGACCGAACCGACUAAUGUUGAAAAAUUAGCGGAUGACCUGUGGCUGGGGGUGAAAGGCCAAUCAAACCGGGAGAUAGCUGGUUCUCCCCGAAAGCUAUUUAGGUAGCGCCUCGUGAAUUCAUCUCCGGGGGUAGAGCACUGUUUCGGCUAGGGGGCCAUCCCGGCUUACCAACCCGAUGCAAACUGCGAAUACCGGAGAAUGUUAUCACGGGAGACACACGGCGGGUGCUAACGUCCGUCGUGAAGAGGGAAACAACCCAGACCGCCAGCUAAGGUCCCAAAGUCAUGGUUAAGUGGGAAACGAUGUGGGAAGGCCCAGACAGCCAGGAUGUUGGCUUAGAAGCAGCCAUCAUUUAAAGAAAGCGUAAUAGCUCACUGGUCGAGUCGGCCUGCGCGGAAGAUGUAACGGGGCUAAACCAUGCACCGAAGCUGCGGCAGCGACACUCAGGUGUUGUUGGGUAGGGGAGCGUUCUGUAAGCCUGCGAAGGUGGCCUGUGAGGGUUGCUGGAGGUAUCAGAAGUGCGAAUGCUGACAUAAGUAACGAUAAAGCGGGUGAAAAGCCCGCUCGCCGGAAGACCAAGGGUUCCUGUCCAACGUUAAUCGGGGCAGGGUGAGUCGACCCCUAAGGCGAGGCCGAAAGGCGUAGUCGAUGGGAAACGGGUUAAUAUUCCCGUACUUGGUGUUACUGCGAAGGGGGGACGGAGAAGGCUAUGUUGGCCGGGCGACGGUU